ACGAUGAAGAGUUUGAUCCUGGCUCAGGAUGAACGCUAGCGGCAGGCCUAACACAUGCAAGUCGAGGGGUAUAUUGAGCUUGCUUAAUAGAGACCGGCGCACGGGUGAGUAACGCGUAUGCAACCUACCUUCUACAGGGGAAUAGCCCGAAGAAAUUCGGAUUAAUGCUCCAUGGUUUAAUUGAAUGGCAUCGUUUAAUUAAUAAAGAUUUAUCGGUAGAAGAUGGGCAUGCGUAUCAUUAGCUAGUUGGUGUGGUAACGGCAUACCAAGGCGACGAUGAUUAGGGGUCCUGAGAGGGAGAUCCCCCACACUGGUACUGAGACA
This 324-nucleotide ribosomal RNA is filed under the name Salmonella enterica subsp. enterica serovar Typhimurium. RNAcentral describes it as "bacterial SSU rRNA". It matches the Rfam family "Bacterial small subunit ribosomal RNA", at positions 1 to 326 of the family's 1533-position model. Lineage: Bacteria; Pseudomonadati; Pseudomonadota; Gammaproteobacteria; Enterobacterales; Enterobacteriaceae. The record is from RNAcentral.